UUCCUCCCUUUCUCUUGUGAUUUGGAUAGACAGGCCUAGAGCUGAUUAAACACCAGGGCUGGGCUCUGCCUUCCAAUAAAAACAGCAACAGCCACAACCUCUGAGGCACAGAUUGAAUCUGGAAACUCCCCAAGUAACUCACAAGAAGGAGGCUGUUGAUCUGCCACAGUCCCAGAGCCGCUGCAAUCAUCCGAGAUGGAAAGGGGCAAAGACAUCGAAGAGAUUCUUAGAGGUGUGACGCAUUCCAGAUGUGUGGGAGUCGAGAUAACCAACAAAACUACAGUGGCCAUCCGCUCCCCAAGCUUUUUCUGUUACAGCGGUCACACCUUCAUCCCCCCUGCACCAGCCAUCAGCCCUGGCUGCAAGGAGACCUGUGUGUUUGUGAAAAGGAACCUCAGUGCCUGGGGAGUUGCAGGGGCUCUCACCUAUGAGUGGGCCGGUUUCUCAUUUAUCCUCAUGUUCUCCAACCCCUUUGACAACAACCUGCACCACCUCCAGUAUGCACUGGAAAUCUGCGAGGGCAGAAUGAGCUGCAAAGAAUUGGAGAGUCUCUACCACAUCAUGCGUGGCCACAGGCCUCUGUCCAGAACCUAUCAAAAGGACCGACUUGGGAGAAACACAACUGCCCUUGUUGUUACCUUACAUAGCUUUCAGAUUUCUGCCACUAUGUCCAAUCACAGCAAAGCUGCCCUUAGAAUAUUAAUUGAAGAGAGAGGUUCUCCUCCCUCCUACACUACACAGCCACCUUGCUCCCAGCAGCUAUCUUCUCCGCUCCCCCGCUUCUCUCAGAAGCUGACCCAGUAACCCACCUGAAAACGGCGUUCCUGUCUCAGAAAUCCCAAACGAGAGGGAGACACCACCCUGACUUGGAAUGCUCUUCAUGCAGAAUCCAGGACCCGCAGAGGGCAAAUUUUCAGUGGACUUCCCCCCCAUCUUUUCUGUUCAGAUUAUUAUAUUGUUUUGUCCAGGGGAAAAAAAAUCAACCUGUAUAGCUGUUCCUGAACAAAGCAAAUAAUGGGCUCAGGGCCACAGAAAGAAGGUCACCAGAGAACCCACGGGACACAAUCACUGCUCAGUCCCUGGGCUGUGCCAAGAACCUGAGUAGUAACAAAGCUCAGCAGCAGAACCAUUCCAAAGCCAGCUGACAAGCAGUAAAGAUGACUGGUGGGAAGACCAGAGGGCCUGAUUCUGCAUUUGGGCCUGAUCUGACCACUCUUAGCCACAUUGGAUGAAAUUCCCCUUGUGCACAGAGUCAGUAUGAACCCCACCAAAGCUCCCAAAAUGGGAUUUAGUUGGGGUUGGUUCUGCUUUGAGCAGGGGUUGGACUAGAUGACCUUCUGAGGUCUCUUCCAACCCUAAUCUUCUAUGAUUCUAUUAAAUAUAACCUACGUGGUAUUCUGGCCUCUGAGGAGGGGGCUUCACCUCCUGAGUGACUAGAUUCUCAGCAUCACAAUUCCGGGGGGCCCAGCACCCACAGAUUUCCAAACAUGCUCCCAGCUGUUCUCACAAACUGGCCUGACUGUGGGUUCUGGGCUCCUCUGGUCAUUCUGGCCAUGCUUUGCAAGUUACUCCCAAUGGGGGUCCUUGCAGAGCAAGGUGCUGCUGAGGUUGAGUCAAGGGGCCAGAGCCGAGUCCUGCUGUUGGCAGUCUGGUCAUAGACACAUGCACGAAAAUUCCCAUACCCCACAGCUGCUCCAAGUGUCCUAUUCCCGGGAGCUGGAGCCAGGCGUUUGCAUAUGUUGAUAUGGGAGGGGUCAGGAAGGCUUGUGGGAGGGUUUUGCAGCACCAGUUGCCAGCCCUGUAUCUGGGACUACGCAGCCCUGUUCUGGAGCUGAUGGGAAACAUAAGAACGGCCAUAUUGGGUAAGACCAAAGGUCCAUCUAGCCCAGUAUCCUGUCUUCUGACAGUGGCCAAUGCCAGGUUCCCCAGAGGGAAUGAACAGACAGGUAAUCAUCACAUGAUCCAUCCCCUGUGCGUUGGGUGAAAAAAAACCUUCCUUUUGUACCAUCCAGACAUCCUGAGACCUACACAAGCUAAAUCCCAGCAAUGCACCAUCCACACAGCCUGAGACCUACAGCAGCUAAACCCCCACAAUGCACCAUCCACACAGCCUGAGACCCACACCAGCUAAACCCCCUCAAUGCACAAUCCCCACAGCCUGAGACCUACACCAGCUAAACCGCUGCAAUGCACCAUCCAGACAGCCUGAGACCUACACCAGCUAAACCCCCACAAUGCACCAUCCACACAGCCUGAGACCUACACCAGCUAGAGGGACAGAACCACAUUGGAAAUAGCAGCAGGGAUGGGGGGUAAGGAGGGGCAAAGUUUGAUAUUUCUACUGUCUGUAGCAAUGUUGGUUGGCCCCUGCCCUUUCUUCCCAUAUCACCUGUCACAUCUGUGGGAAGAUGCUAAGUCCCUGAGUGCAUAAACUGUACCCUUGUGUCUCUCUCAGACAAAGGCACGUACAUUCUGGGUGCUGUGAAAUCUAAUAAAACUUCAUAAUACUAAAAACUGUCCUGAGGAGAGUCACUUCUAAACAAAGAACAGAAUUAAUUCUUUUGUUCACAUAAAUACAGAGGGUCCAGGUCACCACUGAUAUCAAUUGGCCAUAGCUCCAUUGUAGUCAAAGGGCCGGAUCCCCAGCUGCAGUAAACUGGUCCUGUGCCACUGGAGUCAAUGGUCCAAUUUAUGUCAGCUGGAGGUCUGGCCCAGAGGUCAGCCCAAACCUAUUGCCAUGGACUCUAUGGGCUGUCUGAGUUUCUCACCUGCAGCUGGACUCUCACUUCAGCUCAGCUCUACUCAAACACAAUAGGAGCAAUGCAUGCUGGGAAAGCUGCUGACUUUUCUACCAUCUCCUCCUUAUGACAGAGGCUUAAGGUAAUAAGGCUUAAGCCUCUCCAGCAGCAAGAUGUUCCGCCUGGAAGAUGACACAUCCCGAAACGCUGCCUGUUGCUUCUUAUCCUAUCCUCAGAGGUUAAGAAGAACAAUUUUUCUUCUUCCUCCUUGUAACAACCUUUUAUGAACUUGAAAACUGUUAU
This is an RNA transcript of Chrysemys picta bellii (western painted turtle), 3041 nucleotides long. It is a transcript of the gene named deep sea actinoporin Cjtox II-like, with no coding region annotated. Lineage: Eukaryota; Metazoa; Chordata; Testudines; Emydidae. The record is from RefSeq and is a predicted model, not a curated record.